RNAcentral lists this transfer RNA (68 nucleotides) under Marmota monax (woodchuck). RNAcentral's name for it is "tRNA.Undet". Lineage: Eukaryota; Metazoa; Chordata; Mammalia; Rodentia; Sciuridae. The record is from RNAcentral.
GGAGUUGUGGCUCAGUGGUGGAGUGCUUGCUGACAUGCAUGGGGCACUGGGUUCAAUCCUCAGCACCA